GGACUUCGGUCCUGAGUACAGUGGCGCACGGGUGAGUAACACGUGAAUGAUCUACCUUCGAGUGGGGAAUAACUGGAAGAAAUUUCAGCUAAUACCGCAUAAUACCUACGGGUCAAAGAUUUAUCGCUUGAAGAGGAGUUCGCGGCAGAUUAGUUAGUUGGCGGGGUAAUGGCCCACCAAGACGAUGAUCUGUAUCCGGCCUGAGAGGGCGCACGGACACACUGGAACUGAAACACGGUCCAGACUCCUACGGGAGGCAGCAGUGGGGAAUUUUGCGCAAUGGGGGAAACCCUGACGCAGCAACGCCGCGUGGAGGAUGAAAUCCCUUGGGAUGUAAACUCCUUUCGAUCGGGACGAUUAUGACGGUACCGGAAGAAGAAGCCCCGGCUAACUUCGUGCCAGCAGCCGCGGUAAUACGAGGGGGGCAAGCGUUGUUCGGAAUUAUUGGGCGUAAAGGGUGCGUAGGCGGUUUGAUAAGUUUGGUGUGAAAUCUCUGGGCUCAACCCAGAGUCUGCAUCGAAAACUGUCGGGCUUGAGUAUGGGAGAGGUGAGUGGAAUUUCCGGUGUAGCGGUGAAAUGCGUAGAUAUCGGAAGGAACACCUGUGGCGAAAGCGGCUCACUGGACCAUUACUGACGCUGAUGCACGAAAGCUGGGGGAGCAAACAGGAUUAGAUACCCUGGUAGUCCCAGCCCUAAACGAUGAUUGCUUGAUGUGGAGGGUACCCAAUCCGUCCGUG
Molecule: ribosomal RNA, 737 nt
Filed under: uncultured bacterium
Lineage: Bacteria
Description: bacterial SSU rRNA
Rfam family: Bacterial small subunit ribosomal RNA
Source: RNAcentral